This 1819-nucleotide unclassified non-coding RNA is filed under the name Orussus abietinus. RNAcentral describes it as "ethanolaminephosphotransferase 1, transcript variant X1". The record is from RNAcentral. Lineage: Eukaryota; Metazoa; Arthropoda; Insecta; Hymenoptera; Orussidae.
CGCGGGGGCCGGGCGGGCUCCAAAGAAACAUUGGCGUUACGUCGUAGCGAUCUCGUAGUCUCUCAUUAGUCUGGUUUAGUCAUUCACGUGGAUCUUGCGGUCGCUGCGGUUGCGUGUGUGAUCGCGUGCUCGGAAAAUGAGCAAGAGGCGCUGCAAAAUCUGCUGUAGAAUACUGAUAUAGUUCUUUUUUUAGCACACGAAAAAUUUUCCGAGACAAUCUCCGAACGUCAACCGGCAAGGCGCUCCAAUCAAUUAAAUUAAACAUAUAACCUCCAUGUGAUCGAGCGACGAGAACGAGACUGAGCUUCCGCGGAAAGCGGAGCUUUUAUUAGCGAGUAGCGAUUAGUCCGUUGAAAGUCCUAGCUGCAAGAUGAAGUGUAAUUUGGAGAUAAUGUAUUUGACGCAGGAGCAUCUCACAGGCUUCGAAAAUUACAAGUAUAGUUCGCUGGAUACAAGUCCCCUCAGCAUUUAUGUUAUGCACCCAUUUUGGAAUAAAGUCGUUCAGUAUUGUCCAAAAUGGGUUGCCCCUAAUUUGUUGACAUUUCUGGGAUUCCUAUUUACUGUGGUGAAUUUUCUAAUGUUUGCAAGUUAUGAUCGCUACUUCUAUGCGUCUAGUGACGAUCAUCCAGAGUACCCACCGAUACCCAGAUGGGUUUUUGCAUUAGCUGCUUUCUUCAUAUUUAUGGCAUAUACCUUAGACGGCAUCGAUGGUAAACAAGCGAGACGUACGCAAACAUCAGGCCCGUUAGGUGAAUUAUUUGAUCAUGGUCUCGACAGCUGGACAGCAAUGUUAAUUACGGUCUGCAUGUAUUCUGUCUUCGGAAGGACGGAUCACAGUGUAUCACCUCUACGAAUGUACUUCAUACUGUGGAAUGUUUUUGUCAAUUUUUAUCUCAGCCAUUGGGAAAAGUACAACACUGGUGUUUUAUUUCUCCCUUGGGGCUACGAUGCAUCGAUGCUAGCAACGAUUCUAGUCUUUGUUCUGACAAGCAUCGGCGGACACGAAGCUUGGAAGUUCGAAUUGCCAGGUGGAAUUUCAGCGGGUAUCAUGUUCGAGAUGUUACUCUACGUCAGUGCCAUCGUAUCCAAUUUGCCAGUUGUACUGUGGAACAUAUACAAGUCAUACCGAGAUAAGACAGGUAAAAACAGAACGCUACCAGAGGCCGUGAGGCCUUUAGUGCCUUUGUUAGUACUCUUCACAAUCGCCACAGUCUGGGUCACGCAUUCACCAAACAAUGUUUUGGAAAAGGAUCCAAGGAUAAUCUACUUUGCGAUUGGAACAGUAUUCUCCAAUAUAUGCUGUCGACUGAUAGUGUCCCAAAUGAGUAACACCAGAUGCGAGAUACUACCCUGGAUACUGCUCCUGGUGGCUGGAGCGGCAGUUUUCUCCGUCAUCUUGCCCAGCUAUAAUGUGAAGACCAUGUACUUCGUCUCUGCUCUAGCCUUGGCAGCUCAUGUUCACUAUGGAACGUGUGUGGUUAGGCAGAUGUGCCGUCACUUCCGUAUCCAUACUUUCCGCAUACAGGAGCACUCCGAAUGACUGCUUGCCGACAGUGCAUGCUAAAAAGAAAAGAGGAGAGCAACCCAAAGAACGCAAAAUCUGACGCACGUUUGUUCGCCGGAAAGGCCCAGUAACCAAACGACCCGAAUCCCAUGAUCUUCGGAUUCCCAACGAGGAGUGCUUUGCAGUGCACUUCCGCACCUUUAAGAUGUGUUUCGUUGUAAGACGUUGGUCUUGGAUGAAUUAUUUUCAAGAAACUUUUACCAGCUGAACCAGUAGUAUCGACGUUUUGUGCAUUACUUACUGCCGAUGAUGUCU